This 514-nucleotide ribosomal RNA is filed under the name uncultured bacterium. RNAcentral's name for it is "bacterial LSU rRNA". It matches the Rfam family "Bacterial large subunit ribosomal RNA", at positions 1235 to 1750 of the family's 2925-position model. The record is from RNAcentral.
AGCGUUCUGUAAGCCUGUGAAGGUGUCUUGAGAAGGAUGCUGGAGGUAUCAGAAGUGCGAAUGCUGACAUGAGUAGCGAUAAACAAGGUGAAAGUCCUUGUCGCCGAAAACCCAAGGUUUCCUACGCAACGUUCAUCGGCGUAGGGUGAGUCGGCCCCUAAGGCGAGGCAGAAAUGCGUAGUCGAUGGGAAACAGGUUAAUAUUCCUGUACCGAUAUGGAAUGCGAUGGGGGGACGGAGAAGGGUAGGUCAGCCAACUGUUGGAAUAGUUGGUUCAAGCGUGUAGGCGUGCUCUGUAGGCAAAUCCGCAGAGCUUAGCUGAGGCGUGAUAACGAGGUGCCACGUGCACUGAAGUGAUUGAUCCCAUGCUUCCAGGAAAAGCCUCUAAGCUUCAGUUUCAUAUUGACCGUACUGCAAACCGACACAGGUGGGUAGGGUGAGAAUCCUAAGGCGCUUGAGAGAACUCAGGAGAAGGAACUCGGCAAAUUAACACCGUAACUUCGGGAGAAGGUGUG